UUGCCUAAAUUAGAUAUGGAUUAGACUC
Molecule: non-coding RNA, 28 nt
Filed under: Homo sapiens (human)
Lineage: Eukaryota; Metazoa; Chordata; Mammalia; Primates; Hominidae
Source: RNAcentral